Molecule: long non-coding RNA, 586 nt
Organism: Coturnix japonica (Japanese quail)
Lineage: Eukaryota; Metazoa; Chordata; Aves; Galliformes; Phasianidae
Source: RefSeq, a predicted model, not a curated record
CACACACACACACACACGAGCGGCCAAUUUUAGCCCUCGCGGUUUCCCACGAGCGAAAUCUCAUCGGAGACGAAGCAGGGAGCAAAACCCAAACAAACACGGAGCGCAGGGAAACGGGAGGGGGGAUAGUGAGGGGGGGCUCACUUUCUCCUCGUGCGCCAUCGGUAAAACACAUAUAGGGGCCACUUCGGGAUUUGCCCGGGGAUGGGUUGGAGAGCAGCUGGCUGCGGUAAUCGCAUCGGCAGACAAAGGAAUGCCCCGCCGGUCCUGGGAUCACAGAUUUGCCGAAGGGAGAGCGAUCCACCAGGGAGGGCGGCAACCCAGCCGUCCCGGCCGGGGGUGGUCACCGCGCAGUCCCCGCUCCGCACACCGCGAGCGAGCACCUCCGCGGGGGCGGCCCGGGGGAGCGGGGUGCGGAGACACGCGGUUGGGAGCGAAAAAGCGCCAUUUGGUUGGGAGCAGAUGGCUGGCUGGGGGGCUGAUCGCGUCUAAAGGCGUGUCAUCCCCCUUCAGCGAGAAUCCCUAAGGACUCCCCUUGUCUUCAAAAUCAAUGAAAAUUAAAGUGCAGAGAAUGGAUGAAUAGUUA